Molecule: ribosomal RNA, 468 nt
Filed under: uncultured bacterium
Lineage: Bacteria
Description: partial 16S ribosomal RNA
Rfam family: Bacterial small subunit ribosomal RNA
Source: RNAcentral
GACGAACGCUGGCGGCGUGCUUAACACAUGCAAGUCGAACGGAAAGGCACUGCGUUUGUGGGGUGCUCGAGUGGCGAACGGGGGAGUAACACGUGAGUAACCUGCCCUUGACUUUGGGAUAAGUUCAGGAAACUGGGGCUAAUACCGGAUAGGAGAUCCUGCUGCAUGGUGGGGGUUGGAAAGUUUCGGCGGGUGGGGAUGGACUCGCGGAUUAUCAGCUUGUUGGUGGGGUAGUGGCUUACCAAGGCUUUGACGGGUAGCCGGCCGGGGAGGGUGACCGGCCACCUUGGGACUGAGGUACGGCCCAGACUCCUACGGGAGGCAGCAGUGGCGAAUCUUGCACAAUGGGCGGACGCCUGAUGCAGCAACGCCGCGUGCGGGAUGCCGGCCUUCUGGUUGUAAACCGCUUUCGCCUGUGACGAAGCGUUAGUGACGGUAAUGGGUAAAGAAGCACCGGCUAACUACGUG